Long non-coding RNA from Manis pentadactyla (Chinese pangolin), 430 nucleotides. RefSeq lists it as uncharacterized. The record is from RefSeq and is a predicted model, not a curated record. The transcript is spliced from 3 exons. Lineage: Eukaryota; Metazoa; Chordata; Mammalia; Pholidota; Manidae.
CUGAUUUUUAAAAAUAAAUAUAUAAAAGGAUUGAGACUGGGCUAGCUUAAUAACAAGUGGCAGUCAAUAUAAUCAAGAGAAAUAAAUUUUUUUUGUCUUGUAAAUACCAUGCUCUGAAGAAUUUAAGAACCAAAAGGCCUCUCUCCAGAUUCAUAAUAUCAAUCGAAUGCCAUCCAUCAGGGAUGGAGCUAGGAUGUUUGUAUAAAACCUUGACAUCUUAAAUGUGCUCCACCAAAACAGAUGCAGGGCCUUUCUGCCAAGAAGUUAAACGUGGAGAGGUGAGCAAAGAACGGCAUUUCUUCUCCAAAGACCAAUUCUUGAAAUUCACCCUUGCAUCAGCCAUAGGACCUGGUGGCUUCACCCAGAUCUAAUAAAGAAGGUGGUUUCAUCUCUCCUCUUGCCAGCACUGUCACUCUGCGUACUGAGAGAG